Non-coding RNA from Triticum aestivum (bread wheat), 92 nucleotides. Lineage: Eukaryota; Viridiplantae; Streptophyta; Magnoliopsida; Poales; Poaceae. The record is from Rfam.
AAAACUAGUCAGUUCCAUAGGUAUGAAACCCAUUUGAGCGGGAGUAGUACUAGGAUGGGUGACCUCCUGGGAAGUCCUCGUGAAAAGGUUUC